This is a long non-coding RNA of Sapajus apella (tufted capuchin), 664 nucleotides long. RefSeq lists it as uncharacterized. The transcript is spliced from 2 exons. The record is from RefSeq and is a predicted model, not a curated record. NCBI's taxonomy places the organism in Eukaryota, Metazoa, Chordata, Mammalia, Primates, Cebidae.
UCAAAGCAAAAAAAAAAAAAAGAAGAAGAAAGAAAGAAAAGAAAGGGGCAUGAGUGGGAGGAAUGUAGGCCACUGACCAGAUGUCCAGCAGUAGAGCCAAGGGUGGGGUUGUUUGCAGUGUUAGGGAAGGUGGUGGGGCCAGGGCUGGGGCAGAAGGGUGGUCACUGUCACAGAUGUGCUCUGAGCUGCCCAUGAGAAGGAAGAAAGAAAAAGCAAAAACCAUUUAAGAAAUGGGGACAGGGCCGGGCGCAGGACAGAAAGAAGAGUGCUUUGAUGGAUUGGAGUGGCUGCAGCUGUGGCCAGAAAGGAGCGUGUCCUCUCCCCAGAGGUGAGUCUAUUAGAGAAGGCUCCAUGCAGUGAGAGGGGAGCACAGAGGAGAACGAGCUUGUGCCGCAAACCAAAGCUCAGGGGACGGAAAUCAGGAGGCCUCAUGGGUUGUAAAGGGCUGUUGAGAUUGCCUCCUCCCAGAAGAAAUCAACAGAAAGGCUCCUGCUUCUUUGGCGACCCAGAAUCCCUCCGAGGAAGCCAGAGUUGCAGCCAGCACUGUGUCACUGUUGCGGCUGCGGCUGCUGUUGUUUUUAGGCUACUUUGAGGUAAUAGAUGUGAAAGUGUUUUGAGAAAUACAAAGCACUCUGUGUUCAAAUAAAAGGUGUUGUUUCCAUUC